AGUGGCAGACGGGUGAGUAAUGUAUAGGAAUCUACCUAGUAGUACGGAAUAAUUGUUGGAAACGGCAACUAAUACCGUAUACGCCCUACGGGGGAAAAAUUUAUUGCUAUUAGAUGAGCCUAUAUUAGAUUAGUUAGUUGGUGAGGUAAAGGCUUACCAAGACAAUGAUCUAUAGCCGAUCUGAGAGGAUGAUCAGCCACACUGGAACUGAGAUACGGUCCAGACUCCUACGGGAGGCAGCAGUGGGGAAUAUUGGACAAUGGGCGAAAGCCUGAUCCAGCCAUGCCGCAUGAGUGAAGAAGGCCUUCGGGUUGUAAAGCUCUUUUAGUGAGGAAGAUAAUGACGGUACUCACAGAAGAAGUCCUGGCUAACUCUGUGCCAGCAGCCGCGGUAAUACGGAGAGGGCUAGCGUUAUUCGGAAUCAUUGGGCGUAAAGGGCGCGUANGCGGGUUAAUAAGUUAAAAGUGAAAUCCCAAGGCUCAACCUUGGAACUGCUUUUAAAACUGCUAGUCUAGAGAUUGAAAGAGGAUAGAGGAAUUCCUAGUGUAGAGGUGAAAUUCGUAAAUAUUANGAGGAACACCAGUGGCGAAGGNGUCUAUCUGGGUUCAAAUCUGACGCUGAG
RNAcentral lists this ribosomal RNA (622 nucleotides) under uncultured Wolbachia sp. RNAcentral describes it as "bacterial SSU rRNA". It matches the Rfam family "Bacterial small subunit ribosomal RNA", at positions 94 to 750 of the family's 1533-position model. Lineage: Bacteria; Pseudomonadati; Pseudomonadota; Alphaproteobacteria; Rickettsiales; Anaplasmataceae. The record is from RNAcentral.